GAUGAAGAACGUAGCGAAAUGCGAUAAGUAAUGUGAAUUGCAGAAUUCAGUGAAUCAUCGAAUCUUUGAACGCACAUUGCGCCCGCCAGCAUUCUGGCGGGCAUGCCUGUUCGAGCGUCAUUUCAACCCUCGAGCCCCCCCGGGGGCCUCGGUGUUGGGGGACGGCACACCAGCCGCCCCCGAAAUGCAGUGGCGACCCCGCCGCAGCCUCCCCUGCGUAGUAGCACACACCUCGCACCGGAGCGCGGAGGCGGUCACGCCGUAAAACGCCCAACUUUCUUAGAGUUGACCUCGGAUCAGGGAGGAAUACCCGCUGAACUUAAGCAUAUCAAUAAGCGGAGGA
Molecule: unclassified non-coding RNA, 343 nt
Filed under: soil metagenome
Description: partial contains 5.8S ribosomal RNA, internal transcribed spacer 2, and large subunit ribosomal RNA
Rfam family: 5.8S ribosomal RNA (bases 1-120)
Source: RNAcentral